AACGGACUUUCACUUCUGGGUUACGCGCGUCCCGCCCCCACCAUCGGGCGACUAGGAUGAAGGAAAUUGUGCCCUGCGACUUUCCGUACCCGGGCUUGCGUCCGUUCUCUCUUCCCUCUCAAUUAGGCGCCGACACUUGAGCCGGAAGCACAACUUUUUAACGGUUCUUUGCUCUUCUUGGAGCGCAGUCGGCCCCGUUGAGGCCUCGGAGACUCUUGAGACGGCCAGUCACAACCCCUUUCUUACUUGAGCGCCUCCGCAAAUAACGCUGCUUCUGUCUUCCCUCUCGCAUUACUUUCGGAUGACACGUGAGAACGUGUUUCGGAGGGUAGAAAGCUGUGCAAAUUAUUGGGCUGCCUUUAAGGAUCCCCAAGGACCCGCAGUUUUGCCGCGUCAAACCCCUAUGUUCGCAGUGCAGGACAGGCCAAGGACUCUAGUUUGAAGGUGUAGGCGUGUCAUGGAGGAUGUGACUUCUGGUUGGAUCUAGAAAAGGCUCCGGACCUCACUAACAUUCCAGAACUACAUCAAGAGCACAUGUAAAAAUAAGCAAGAAUGGGAAUGAGGAAGGAGACAUAACCACAGAGACUGUGUGGCCGGAGAGGAGCAAAUUAGAGAAAAAGGUUGCAGGAAUGGGGUCAUAGAGGACUGGCCACCUUCCCCCCAACCAGUGACUCCUCAAGGAUCCCGAAAUCCCCCAUCAGGGAUCACCAAGGACCAGACAACAGCCAGGGGCAGCUGACAGGCGACUGUGGAAUGCAGUGAGGUGCUUUUCUCCUAGUCCUCUCUCCUGGCAGAACAUUCCCUGGGGAUGACAGCAUUGGGAGGCGUGCUCCAUGUUCCCUGAUCACCCUCCUCCAGGCACUGAAGAUUUCUGAAAACAAAUACUAUUUUCUAACUGAACAUUAUCCAAAUUCCAUAAAUCAUUGUGAAAACAUUCCAAGUGAAGAUUAAAUUGGAAGGCAAUUCUAGUUAGCUAUGGCAACUGCAACACCAGAAUUUAUCUCUGCUUCCUGUCGGAAACAUCACGAAAAGGUAAUGACAGGAUCGGAAUAGGCAUAAAUCCGGAAGACAAAGAAAUGGGGCAAGAAAGUGACAAAUGAUCAGAGAUGUCCACAAAAUUUAGGAAGGCAAAAAGCAAGAGACAAAAGAGAACUAGCAUCAUUACGUAGAGAAAGCUGGAUCUGGACCCCGGGGGAGGGGCACUGCUGGUUGAGGGAGUCUCAGCAGCUAGACUCAGGAAUAGGAGGCACCAGACAAAGAGGAGGAUGGCAACGGGAGGGGUUGUAAGUCUGCACAACAACAGACGAUGCCCCAUAGGACCGUGCCCGACACUUGGUCUUCCACAAACACUGGACUUGAAUGAGUGAAUGGUAAAGGAGCAGAUUUCCUUUAUGAGCUGAGGCCUCUCUGGUUGCCCUGUCAGGUAUGAAAGCACCAGAAGAACUCGUCCAUGUAGAGGGGAGGCCAUGAGGAUCUGAACAUUCUGGCACUGGGGUCCUGGGGUUCAGGGGCUACAUGCACUCAUGCCCCGUCCUCUGGCAAUGCUUCCCACGGCCCCACCAGAAGAGUUGGAGAUAGUUGGGAGAGAGGAGGGUGGAAGCAAAGGUGGGCCUUGGUGGGCUGCAGCUUCUGGGCAGACCUCAGCAUGUGACCUGGUCCCUAAACCCAGUUCCAGGGGCCCUUCACAUCUGUGGAAGCUUCUGGGGCAGUACCCAGGAUGGGGCACCACCUCAUGCCUCCCCCCACUUCCCUGAUGCAAGAACUGGCCCUCCUCACCCAGAUCUUCCCUUCCUUCAGUUGUGUUGAAGGGGGACCCUUGAGCAUUAAGGACACCAGGGUCCAGUUGUGCUGGUGGGUGAGCGUCACACACCCUGGCACCUACCAGCCAGUCCUGCUCCCAUGGAGGGGGGCCUGCACUUAUUAAAUGCCAACUGGGUUUACCUGACACUGAUUGAGUUGCCUCAGCAAGCCUGUGAGGAAGAACCAUUAUCCCCGGGGCUCUGAGGAGAAGGACGUGUGAGAAGCUGAGGGACGCCCCGCAGGCCAGUCUCAGAGCCCAGGCCUGUGUGGAGAAGUCACCCAAGCACACUCAAGGAUAAAUGAGCUUCCUUUCCUGACAGGAGUUGACUUACCUGGGGAGAGACUGGAGAGUAACCAAGCACUCCAGAGCCAGGUCAGAUUAGGGUCAGCGUCAUAGAAGCACAAGGAGGGAGAGAGGAAUUCCUGUUGGGAUGGCGGGAAUAGUCCAGACACCUUUCUGGGGAAGGAGGCAUUGGUACCGACUCUGGUGAGGAGAAGAAGGUGUCUUCAGGCAUCUUGGAGAGAGGAAGCAGCCGCGGUGUCAGGGACAUACGCUGUAGUGGUCAGCAGGGACCAGCUGGUGGGCAUCCUGGAAGGCCACAUGCGGUAAGGGGGACACCCCCUCUGGCAGUGUGUGCAGGACAGCUUCCAGAAGGCAGAGUCUGGGCAGUGGGCGCAGACAGGAAGGUGGAGUGGAAGGUCACUGCUGAGGGAAAAUCCGAGGGCCGGGGACUGAGGCGCCGGGAGGAGACAUGGUUUCACUCUACACUCUUCUGUGAUGUGUGUUCAUGCAUUACUUUCCCCUCCAAAAACCCUUUUGGAAAAUAGCCCAGUGAGUGGAUUGUUUAAAUGUGGUCUAUACAUACAAUGGAAUAUUAGUCAGCCGGAAAUAUUAUCCAGAAGGAAAUUCUGACAUAUGUUACAACAUGAGUGAGACUUGAGGGACAUUAUGCCAGACCCAAGAGGAUAGAUGCUGUCUGGUUCCACUUCUGUGAGGCACCUAGAGUAGUCAGCUUCAUAGAUUCAGAAGAAGGCUGUUGCCAGGGACUGAGGGGAGGGAGGAGCGGGGAGGUGCUGUUUAAGGCGGGCAGAGUGUUAAUUUGGGGAGGAUGGAAAAGUGCUGACUUAAUGCCCCUGAAUUCUACACUUAGAGAUGGCUGGUGAAGGUGGUCAGUGUUAUGUUAUGUCUCUUUUACCACAAGAGCAAAAAACCACAACAGACCAGUGAAAGACGCACACGAAUACUGCUUUGUCAUUGGGUCUGAGUGACAAGGAGCGCUGGGGCCAUUCACGGGGACAGGCAGGAGAGGGGGGUGAGCACCUUUGCGGGGAAAUGAAGUCAGCUCUUGGUGGCCACGUGGUGUGUGCCUGCUGUGCACUGUGUCCGGGAGGUGCUUUGGUCCUACCAUCUCUGAACCUCACAAGGCAGGUGUGCUUGUUUUCAUUUCUUCACAGGUGAGCUCAGGGGCCAGGGCCAGGGGACCCCAGGCCUGUCCAUCCCACGGUGCCAGGCUGGGUUUAGGAUGCCAGUCUCUGGAGAUACAGACAGCAGGCUGGCGGGUGGGGUGGAGCUUGGAGGGGCAGAGUCAGAGGGCAGUUUCCUGAGGGGAGAUCCUGGUAAAGCCGCGGCAUGCUGAAGCCCCAGAGAAGGGUGAAGGAGAGCAGAAGGCAAGCUCUGGAAGAAAUCCUGCAUUUAUGACACUGACCCCCUCCCUACCGCUGUAGGAGCUGCCAUGAUUAGAGCCUCCUCCUGCAGAAGUGCCCCCCCACACACACACCAAGUCCCCACAUUAAGACCUGGGCCUUGUUUAGCCCCUGCCCAGCAGCUGACUCUGGGGCCUUCGCCAACCACAAGGAGAGGAAGCAGCUCAAAAUGACCUCAUCCUAAAUCAGGCUGGCUCCGUGGAUCCCUGUCAACACUCAGGAGCACUCCGGGCAGUGAGGAGCCAGCCCGGAGGAGAGGUACAUCACCCUGCAGUCCACUGAGACAGCAGGAGCAUCUCCCCGGAAGCAAAGAAGCCAGCCACUCAGGAAGGUGCACAGGGAGACAAAGCCUCCCGGGUACUUUUUGCGGCCACCCCCAUCUCAGUCUGCCCCGAGAGUGGGGGUGAAAACACGGGCUUGCGUGGCUUCUGGGAGACAGCUGAGGAUGGAGCCACUCACGGCCUGAAGCCUGAGCAGUGGUCCUGCUGGAAUCCCGGAAGAUGGAACUGAUGUUCAUCAGCCCUUGCACAGGGUCCUGAGGAAAUGCCCAGAGGGUUCAGGGAGGCUGAUGGCAAGACUGUGGCCCGGUGAGUAGAGCUAAGUCAGCCCUGUCCUUUCAAAACCAGAGAAGCUGCACAUUUAGACUAGUCUUCUUGGUAACAGACAAGUGGUUAAGGGGUUUCCUUAGUAACUUAAGCUUGGAAACAAAUCCAGGUGUGGAGUUUGUUCUGCAAAGUGUGGGCUUUUGUCCACGUGUUUUGAUGUUGCUUCCCCCAGCUGAGGCCUUCAUGUCAGCCCACGAGUGCAGGGCCCUAAGCUCUGACCCUCCAGCUUCUGGCUCUCUGUGAAAACAAGGGGCGGAAAUUAAAACUACAGGGGUCCCUGGGUGGCUUAGGAGGUUGGGCAUCUGCCUUCGGCUCAGGUCAUGAUCUCACGGUUCUGGGAUUGAGCCCCACAUCGGGCUCCCAGCUCAGCGGGGAGCCUGCUUCUCCCUCUCCCACUGUCCUCCCCCGCCCCCAACUCUCUCUCUCUCUCUCACUUGCUUUCUCUCAAAUAAAUAAAUAAAAUCUUAAAAAAAAAAAAGGAUAUCUCUAAACACCCACCAGAAUGGCUACAAUUAAAAAGACUGACUAUGCCAAGUAUUGGCGAGGCUGUGGAGCAACUGAGAAUCUCAUACAAUGCUGCUGGAAAUAGAAAACUGCUUUGGAAACAGUUUGGCAGGUUCCUAUAAAGUUAAAAUACAUUUAUCAUACGCCCAGAGAUCCCACUUGGGUAUUUACCGAAGUGAAAUGAAAACAUGUUCAUUCAAAGCCUUGCCCAUGAAUGUUUAGAGCAGCUUUAUUUUUUAUUUAUCUUUUUUAAGACUUUUUUUUUAAUUGUAGCUGACACACAGUGUUACAUUAGUUUCAGGUGUACAACAUAUAGUGAUUCAAUAGGGUCUAAGGUUAUGCUGUGCUCACAAGUGUAGCUACCAUCUGUCACCAUACAAUGCUAUUAUUUAUUUUUUUUAAAGAUUUUUAAAAUUUAUUUGAGAGAGAGUGAGAAGAGCACGAAUUGGGGGCAGAGCAGAAGGAGAGAGAGACUCUCAAGCGGACUUCCUGCUGAGCGCAGAGCCCAACGCAGGGCUCGAUCCCAGGACCCCGGGAUCAUGACCUGAGCUGAAGCCAGACGCUUAACCGACUGAGCCCCUCAGGCGCCCCCUUACAAUGCUAUUAUAAUACCACUGAUUAUAUUCCUUAUACUGUGCCUUUUAUUCCUGUAACAUAUUCAUUUCGUAACUGGAAGCCUGUGCUUCUCACUCUCCUUCACCCAUUUUGCCCAUCCCUGCACCCCCACCCCCUCUGGCAACCAUCAGUUUGUUCUCUGUAUUUAUGGGUCUGUUUCUAGAGCAGCUUUAUUAACAAUAAACUGGAAACAAUCCAAAUGCCCAUCAACUAAUAAAGGGACAAAGAGCCUUCAUUCACACAGCAGGAUACUACCCAGAAUAAAAAGGACAACCUAUUGGCACAUGAAUGAUAUUGAGUGCAUUAGGUUCUGUGAAGGAAGCAGACAAAAAUGAGUGCAUGCUGCAUGAGUCCAUUCGUAGAAAAUUAAAGAUUUUUCAAAAAGAGAUAUUUAUUUAUUUCAGAGAGAGAUCUCCUGAUUAGGGGGAGGGUCAGAGGGAGAAAAUCUCAAGCAGACUCCCUGCCGGACACAGAGCCCAACAUGAGGCUCGAUCUCACGACCCAGGAGAUCACGACCUGAGCUGAAACCAAGAGUUGGUCACUUAACCGACUGACCACCCAGGUGCCCCUCCAUUCAUAUAAAAUUAAAGCACAGGCAAACUGUGGGGUCAGAAAUGAGAUCAGUGGUCACUUGGAGCCAGGGGAAGGGGGAGGAGAUUGGCAGCAAAGGUGCAUGAGAGAACUUUUGGGGUGAUCGAAAUAUUCUGUACCUCAAUUGUGGUACUGGUUGUACAAGUGUAUGCAUUUGUCCAAAUUCUGUCCACCAUACACUUAAAAUUUUUUAAAUAAAAUAAAUGUUAUUGUAUGUAAAUUAUAUCCCAAUAAAGCUGUUUUUUUAAAAUUUUCUUGAUUUUUUUUAAAGACUUUAGCUCUAUUUUUUUUAUUUUUUAAAGAUUUUAUUUAUUUAUUUGAGAGAGAGAAUGAGAGACAGAGAGCAUGAGAGGGGGAGGGUCAGAGGGAGAAGCAGACUCCCCGCCGAGCAGGGAGCCCGACGCGGGACUCGAUCCCGGGACUCCAGGAUCAUGACCUGAGCCGAAAGCAGUCGCCCAACCAACUGAGCCACCCAGGCGCCCAAAUUUUCUUGAUUUUUAUUUUAUUAUAUAUAUUUUUUUAAUAAGCUCCACAUCCAACAUGGGGCUUGAACUCACGACCCUGAGAUCAACAGUUGCAUGCUCUACCAAAUGAGCCAACCAGGUGCCCUAAAGCUGAUUUUUAAAAAAUGAGGAAUAGUCGGGGUGCCUGGGUGGCUCAGUCGGUUAAGCAUCCGACUCUUGAUUUCAGCUCAAGCUUAGUGGAGUGUCUGCUUCUCUCCUUCCCCCCUCCCCCACACUCUCGCACAUGUUCUCUCCCUUUCACAUAAAUAAAUAGAUUAAAAAAAAAAAAAAAGGAACAGUAAGUGUUUUUAGAAUACUGAGAAGGGGAAAA
Molecule: long non-coding RNA, 6653 nt
Organism: Mirounga angustirostris (Northern elephant seal)
Lineage: Eukaryota; Metazoa; Chordata; Mammalia; Carnivora; Phocidae
Exons: 7
Source: RefSeq, a predicted model, not a curated record